Molecule: transfer RNA, 54 nt
Filed under: Coleoptera sp. 15 KM-2017
Lineage: Eukaryota; Metazoa; Arthropoda; Insecta; Coleoptera
Description: tRNA-Val
Source: RNAcentral
AUAAUUAUAGUUUAAAAAACAUUUCUUUUACAAAGAAAAAUUAAAUUAAUAAUA